Molecule: long non-coding RNA, 641 nt
Filed under: Citrus x clementina
Lineage: Eukaryota; Viridiplantae; Streptophyta; Magnoliopsida; Sapindales; Rutaceae
Description: Citrus clementina (C. clementina) long non-coding RNA (CCLE_LNC002983)
Source: RNAcentral
CCACUAAUCAUCUAUAAAUAAUCGAAACCUCCGUUAACAUUAACAUAAUAUACGUACGAUAACAAAUCUUUUCUUACAAGUUCGAUGAAUGGAGAAAUCAUCUGCUCUCUUCCUUUUUACUUGCGUUUGUUUCAUUUUAACCAUCGUCCCAACUAGACGUUUCCAAAAACAAUUGGUCUGCGAAAGCGAAGGUGAAGAUAAUUAGCAACUAAGAUAUAUAAAAUACAAUUUUGCAGCAUUUUCUUCAUGAAAAAUGAAACAAUUUUGUAACUUUUGGUUCAUUGAGGAAGAUGUUUGACAACUAGACGUUUCCAAAAACGAUUGGCCUGCGAAAGCAAAGGUGAAAAUAAUUAGCAGCUAAGAUAUAUAAAAUGCAAUUUUGCAGCAUUUUCUUCAUGAAAAAUGAAACAAUUUUGUAACUUUUGGUUCAUUGAGAAAGAUGUUUGACAACUAGACGUUUCCAAAAACGAUUGGCCUGCAAAAGCGGAGGUGAAGAUAAUUAGCAACUAAGAUAUAUAAAAUGCAAUUUUGCAGCAUUUUCUUCAUGAAAAAUGAAACAAUUUUGCAAUUUUUGGUUCAUUGAGAAAGAUGUUUGACAACUAGACGUUUCCAAGAACGAUUGGCUUGCGAAAGCGAAGGUG